GGGCCUAACACAUGCAAGUCGAACGGACAGAGAGGAGCUUGCUCCUCAAAGUUAGUGGCGGACGGGUGAGUAACGCGUGGGUAACCUGCCCUAUGCAGGGGGAUAACGUUUGGAAACGAACGCUAAUACCGCAUAAUCUAGUUUCUUCGCAUGAAGAGAUUAGCAAAGAUUUAUCGGCAUAGGAUGGACCCGCGUUGGAUUAGCUAGUUGGUGAGAUAACAGCCCACCAAGGCGACGAUCCAUAGCCGGCCUGAGAGGGUGAACGGCCACACUGGGACUGAGACACGGCCCAGACUCCUACGGGAGGCAGCAGUGGGGAAUAUUGCACAAUGGGCGCAAGCCUGAUGCAGCGACGCCGCGUGAAGGAUGAAGGUUUUCGGAUCGUAAACUUCUAUCAGCAGGGAAGAAACCAAUGACGGUACCUGACUAAGAAGCCCCGGCUAACUACGUGCCAGCAGCCGCGGUAAUACGUGGGGGGCAAGCGUUAUCCGGAUUCACUGGGUGUAAAGGGUGCGUAGGUGGCAAUGUAAGUCAGAUGUGAAAUUUAGGGGCUCAACCUCUAAGCUGCAUCUGAAACUGCGUAGCUAGAGUGCAGGAGAGGAAAGCGGAAUUCCGAGUGUAGCGGUGAAAUGCGUAGAGAUUCGGAGGAACACCAGUAGCGAAGGCGGCUUUCUGGACUGUAACUGACAC
Molecule: ribosomal RNA, 690 nt
Filed under: uncultured bacterium
Lineage: Bacteria
Description: bacterial SSU rRNA
Rfam family: Bacterial small subunit ribosomal RNA
Source: RNAcentral